AUCUCUCAACUCCAAAACGGAUAGAAGCUGUGUUUCUAGUGGUAUCCCUGACCGGAAAACCGAUCCAACAUUGAUCGCACAGGAAGGAAAAGAAGGAAGGUUGUCAAAACGAGCAGUGAGCUGCCGCCGCCGGGGAAGAGAAAGGGGUUUGUUUGUUUGUAUGACUUUCAGACGAGGGAGAAGACUCGGUAGCCUUCGUAACGGCUAAAUCGUAAGGUAGGGUAGGGGAAGUCCCGUAAAACUGGCCGUAUGUUUUCCUCUGUUUGUCAUCAAAGUCUUUGUCGAUUUGGGUGACGUGGUAUCUUGUGAUUGGUUUCCAAACUGAGGUGUCUUCUACUCACAGUACAGAAGUGAAAUUUCAUGCCAAGCCAUUUGGACAGACUGCUAUGGAAGUUCACAAAUCAUAUACCCUCACCCAAGACAACUUCUUUAUCAUAGUCAUUUGAACGAGUUGUUUCUGUCAAAUAUUUCAACAUUUCUCAAUUUAUAAUUUCAACAUUUCCUCCACUCUCAUUUCCCCUUUACCAACCCACCCAUUAGCUCAAUCAAAGGUUUGGAAGCAGUAAUCAGAAUGAUUGGGCGCCAUUGGCAAUACAAUUAGAUGGUGAAGAAGAAGCAUUAAGAGUGAAAGAUGCUU
Molecule: long non-coding RNA, 637 nt
Filed under: Linum usitatissimum (flax)
Lineage: Eukaryota; Viridiplantae; Streptophyta; Magnoliopsida; Malpighiales; Linaceae
Description: long non-coding RNA (LUSI_LNC004128)
Source: RNAcentral